RNAcentral lists this ribosomal RNA (789 nucleotides) under Triticum aestivum (bread wheat). Its description in RNAcentral is "partial small subunit ribosomal RNA". The record is from RNAcentral. Lineage: Eukaryota; Viridiplantae; Streptophyta; Magnoliopsida; Poales; Poaceae.
AUGGUGGUGGACCCCGCCGGCGGGGGCACCUCCAUGCGCGCCGCCAUCUUCCCCUGCCCCGACUGCGGCGACGUCUUCGUCCGGGCCGAGAGCCUCCACCUCCACCAGGCCACCCGCCACGCAGUGUCGGAGCUGGGGCCGGAGGACACGAGCCGGAACAUCAUCGAGAUCAUCUUCCAGUCGAGCUGGCUCAAGAAGCAGACCCCGGUGUGCGCCGUGGACCGCAUCCUCAAGGUGCACAACGCGCCGGCCACCCUCGCCCGCUUCGAGGCCUACCGCGACGCCGUCAAGGCCAGGGCGCGCGGGGGGCGCCCCGGCGCCGGCCGAUGCACCGCCGACGGCAACGAGCUGCUCCGCUUCCACUGCGCCGCGCUCUCGUGCUCCCUCGGCGCGGGGGGCGCCACCCACCUCUGCGACGGCGCCGGCAACUCCUCCUGCGCCGCGUGCGGGAUCGUUCGCGACGGGUUCAAGUUCAGGGCGCCCGGGGUCCGGACCAUGGCCACCAGCGGCCGCGCGCACGACGAUGCCGUGGCCGUGGGUGGGGAGGAGGGGGAGGGCGGCGGAGGAGAGCAGCGCAGGGCCAUGCUCGUGUGCCGGGUCAUCGCCGGGCGGGUAAAGCGCCGCUGCGAGGGCACGGCGGAGACGGCGGGCAAGGAGGAGGAUGCAGAAGCAGAGGAGGAGUACGACUCGGUGGCGGGGACGGCGGGGGUGUACUCGAGCCUGGACGAGCUGGAGGUGUUGAACCCCACCGCCAUCCUCCCCUGCUUCGUCGUCGUCUACAAGGCUUGA